Molecule: long non-coding RNA, 1023 nt
Organism: Amblyraja radiata (thorny skate)
Lineage: Eukaryota; Metazoa; Chordata; Chondrichthyes; Rajiformes; Rajidae
Exons: 3
Source: RefSeq, a predicted model, not a curated record
UGUGCGGGGAUCGCUGGUCGGCAUGGGCUCAGUGGGCCGAAGGGCCUGUUUCUCUGAACUCAACAAACCUCAGUCCACUUUUUGAGUUUUAUUGAUCAGCUACCAUUUAGGUUUUAUUUAGUGGCACCUGAUUCAAAAGCAGUCCAGGGAAGAAUAUCGAAUCAAAUGUUUACUGUGCAUUCACGCUGAUCAUGUGCCAAAUAGAAUAAUCUAGAGCGGUGGCAAAUAUAGGUUCACUGUGCAAAUGCAAAUCAGAUUUCAGACACAGCUGAUUGGAGGUAGGGCUUAUUGCACACCCUUGUACAUCGCAGGUAGCCAGAACAGACAUCACUAGUCACCUUGUGUGCUCAGUGUGGAGAUGGGAACAUCUGCUUCAUGGACCUCUCCCUCCGAGCAGCAACUCAGGGCAGCCACUGUCCGUAAUACUUGGUGUGUUGUGGAUGCAUCUACACUGCCAGCCAGUUUGGGCAGUGUAGAGGUCCACAUCUGCACUAUGGGCCAGUUUGGGCAGUGUAGAUGUCCACAUCUGCACUAUAGGCCAGUAUAGAGGUCCACAUCUGCACUAUGGGCCAGUUUGGGCAGUGUAGAUGUCCACAUCUGCACUAUGGGCCAGUUUGGGCAGUAUAGAGGUCCACAUCUGCACUAUGGGCCAGUUUGGGCAGUAGAGGUCCACAUCUGCACUAUGGGCCAGUUUGGGCAGUGUAGAUGUCCACAUCUGCACUAUGGGCCAGUAUAGAGGUCCACAUCUGCACUAUGGGCCAGUUUGGGCAGUAUAGAGGUCCACAUCUGCACUAUGGGCCAGUUUGGGCAGUGUAGAUGUCCACAUCUGCACUAUGGGCCAGUUUGGGCAGUAUAGAGGUCCACAUCUGCACUGUAGACCAGUUUGGGAAAUGAGGGUGACCAUCUAUACAUUGCAGGGCAGUUUUAGCUGUGCAGAUGUUCACAUCUCCACUGCUGGCCAGUUUGGAAAGUCUGGAACCCCAUAGUGUGUGGGAAGGAACUGCAGAUGCUGGUUUUUACUGA